Coccinella septempunctata (seven-spotted ladybird) is the source of this 1166-nucleotide long non-coding RNA. RefSeq lists it as uncharacterized. Lineage: Eukaryota; Metazoa; Arthropoda; Insecta; Coleoptera; Coccinellidae. The transcript is spliced from 7 exons. The record is from RefSeq and is a predicted model, not a curated record.
CUCCAUGCCUCGUUGGUUCAAGAUUCUUGUUCUUGAAAAGAUUUUGGAUAAGAUGUCGUCCCAUCUAAUUUGUGGUAAUAUCAGGAAUAAUAAUGCCUUUUUGUUAGAAAAAAGACACCGGCAAAUCCCUCAGCUCAGUAGGCAUCUUAUAAGACUGAGUUAUAUGAACAUGAUAAUUUCAAUGGAAGGUGGACAGAGGGUAGCCCAGUGCCAUGGUCUCCAAGAUCGCCAGACUUGAAUCCAUAUGAUUUUCUCCUGUGGGGUUUCAUUGAGCAACUUGUUCACAGUAGCGUUGUUGAUAAUGUUGAUGAAUUGAGAUUCAGAGUGGAAAGUGUUGCUCAUGAUGUAUAGGACAGUCCAAAUCUCUGUCAGAAUGUGAAGCAUGAUUUGUGGGAGAGAAGGUCUGCUGGCAAACAAUUCACUAGGAUAAAAAAUGUAAAGCAUCCUUAAGCAAUAUUUCUAAAGUGGUCAGGAAAUUUGUUUGAAUGAAUUGUAGGAGUUGUUUGAGUUUCUAUUAGAUCAGUUACAACAAUUCUGAAGAGUUUUUACACAAUUUGACAACAGGGAAAGUUGCUGCUUCUACAGCACAUUUCUAUUAGAUCAGUUACAACAAUUCUGAAGAGUUUUUACACAAUUUGACAACAGGGAAAGUUGCUGCUUCUACAGCACAUUUCUAUAAGAUCAGUUACAACAAUUCUGAAGAGUUUUUACACAAUCUGGCAACAAGCAAAGUUGCUGCCUCUACAGCACAGAUCAAGUCAAUAAUCUCUCCAACAUGAGCUUGUACAGGUAUAAUGGCCUAGUUCACAAGAAAUAGUUGAUAUUGGGUAGAAUAUCUAUUCUAUUCUAAUUUCUAAACAGAGCUGGAGUAUUUUCUCUAAGAUUAGUUACACCGAUUCUGAAGAUAGGGUUUUUACACAAUCUGUCAACAAGCAAAGUUGCUGCCUCUACAGCACAGUAGGAACCGUUCAAUAAUCCCCCAAUUUCAGCUUGUAUAGGUAUAAUAUCCUAGUUCACCAAAAACACUUGGGAUUAGAGAAGCCGACCAAAUUCUUGUUGUCAAUCAUGUUGAGUCUUCCAAAAUUAAUUGAAAAGUACUGAAAGCUAAGUUGCUGACCUGAUAUUGUAUGUUUAGAUGUUGAAAAUAAAAUAUUUGUUUCUUAAAA